CAAACCAAAGCUGGCGACCGGCGCACGGGUGAGUAACACGUAUCCAACCUGCCUCAUACUCGGGGAUAGCCUUUCGAAAGAAAGAUUAAUAUCCGAUAGCAUAUAUUUCCCGCAUGGGUUUUAUAUUAAAGAAAUUCGGUAUGAGAUGGGGAUGCGUUCCAUUAGUUUGUCGGGGGGGUAACGGCCCACCAAGACUACGAUGGAUAGGGGUUCUGAGAGGAAGGUCCCCCACAUUGGAACUGAGACACGGUCCAA
This 255-nucleotide ribosomal RNA is filed under the name uncultured bacterium. RNAcentral describes it as "partial 16S ribosomal RNA". It matches the Rfam family "Bacterial small subunit ribosomal RNA", at positions 74 to 334 of the family's 1533-position model. The record is from RNAcentral.